AUGCAAGUCGAGCGGGGUUAUAAGAGAAGCUUGCUUUUCUAAUAACCUAGCGGCGGAUGGGUGAGUAACACGUGGGUAACCUGCCUAAAAGACUGGGAUAACACCGGGAAACCGGUGCUAAUACCGGAUAAUCUACUAAGUCAUAGGACUAGGUAGUAAAAGGUGGCGCAAGCUACCACUUUUAGAUGGGCCCGCGUCGCAUUAGCUAGUUGGUGGGGUAAUGGCCUACCAAGGCAACGAUGCGUAGCCGACCUGAGAGGGUGAUCGGCCACACUGGGACUGAGACACGGCCCAGACUCCUACGGGAGGCAGCAGUAGGGAAUCUUCCGCAAUGGACGAAAGUCUGACGGAGCAACGCCGCGUGAGUGAUGAAUGUUUUCGGAUUGUAAAACUCUGUCAUUAGGGAAGAAUAGGUGUAGUUUAAAUAAGGCUACACUGUGACGGUACCUAAAGAGGAAGCCCCGGCUAACUACGUGCCAGCAGCCGCGGUAAUACGUAGGGGGCAAGCGUUGUCCGGAAUUAUUGGGCGUAAAGCGCGCGCAGGCGGUUUUAUAAGUCUGGUGUGAAAGCCCACGGCUCAACCGUGGAGGGUCACUGGAAACUGUAAGACUUGAGUA
This 617-nucleotide ribosomal RNA is filed under the name uncultured bacterium. RNAcentral's name for it is "bacterial SSU rRNA". It matches the Rfam family "Bacterial small subunit ribosomal RNA", at positions 55 to 648 of the family's 1533-position model. The record is from RNAcentral.